ACCGACUUACGUUGAAAAGUGAGCGGAUGAACUGAGGGUAGCGGAGAAAUUCCAAUCGAACCUGGAGAUAGCUGGUUCUCUCCGAAAUAGCUUUAGGGCUAGCCUCAAGUGAUGAUUAUUGGAGGUAGAGCACUGUUUGGACGAGGGGCCCCUCUCGGGUUACCGAAUUCAGACAAACUCCGAAUGCCAAUUAAUUUAACUUGGGAGUCAGAACAUGGGUGAUAAGGUCCGUGUUCGAAAGGGAAACAGCCCAGACCACCAGCUAAGGUCCCAAAAUAUAUGUUAAGUGGAAAAGGAUGUGGCGUUGCCCAGACAACUAGGAUGUUGGCUUAGAAGCAGCCAUCAUUUAAAGAGUGCGUAAUAGCUCACUAGUCGAGUGACACUGCGCCGAAAAUGUACCGGGGCUAAACAUAUUACCGAAGCUGUGGAUUGUCCUUUGGACAAUGGUAGGAGAGCGUUCUAAGGGCGUUGAAGCAUGAUCGUAAGGACAUGUGGAGCGCUUAGAAGUGAGAAUGCCGGUGUGAGUAGCGAAAGACGGGUGAGAAUCCCGUCCACCGAUUGACUAAGGUUUCCAGAGGAAGGCUCGUCCGCUCUGGGUUAGUCGGGUCCUAAGCUGAGGCCGACAGGCGUAGGCGAUGGAUAACAGGUUGAUAUUCCUGUACCACCUAUAAUCGUUUUAAUCGAUGGGGGGACGCAGUAGGAUAGGCGAAGCGUGCGAUUGGAUUGCACGUCUAAGCAGUAAGGCUGAGUAUUAGGCAAAUCCGGUACUCAUUAAGGCUGAGCUGUGAUGGGGAGAAGACAUUGUGUCUUCGAGUCGUUGAUUUCACACUGCCGAGAAAAGCCUCUAGAUAGAAAAUAGGUGCCCGUACCGCAAACCGACACAGGUAGUCAAGAUGAGAAUUCUAAGGUGAGCGAGCGAACUCUCGUUAAGGAACUCGGCAAAAUGACCCCGUAACUUCGGGAGAAGGGGUGCUCUUUAGGGUUAACGCCCAGAAGAGCCGCAGUGAAUAGGCCCAAGCGACUGUUUAUCAAAAACACAGGUCUCUGCUAAACCGUAAGGUGAUGUAUAGGGGCUGACGCCUGCCCGGUGCUGGAAGGUUAAGAGGAGUGGUUAGCUUCUGCGAAGCUACGAAUCGAAGCCCCAGUAAACGGCGGCCGUAACUAUAACGGUCCUAAGGUAGCGAAAUUCCUUGUCGGGUAAGUUCCGACCCGCACGAAAGGCGUAACGAUUUGGGCACUGUCUCAACGAGAGACUCGGUGAAAUCAUAGUACCUGUGAAGAUGCAGGUUACCCGCGACAGGACGGAAAGACCCCGUGGAGCUUUACUGUAGCCUGAUAUUGAAAUUCGGCACAGCUUGUACAGGAUAGGUAGGAGCCUUUGAAACGUGAGCGCUAGCUUACGUGGAGGCGCUGGUGGGAUACUACCCUAGCUGUGUUGGCUUUCUAACCCGCACCACUUAUCGUGGUGGGAGACAGUGUCAGGCGGGCAGUUUGACUGGGGCGGUCGCCUCCUAAAAGGUAACGGAGGCGCUCAAAGGUUCCCUCAGAAUGGUUGGAAAUCAUUCAUAGAGUGUAAAGGCAUAAGGGAGCUUGACUGCGAGACCUACAAGUCGAGCAGGGUCGAAAGACGGACUUAGUGAUCCGGUGGUUCCGCAUGGAAGGGCCAUCGCUCAACGGAUAAAAGCUACCCCGGGGAUAACAGGCUUAUCUCCCCCAAGAGUUCACAUCGACGGGGAGGUUUGGCACCUCGAUGUCGGCUCAUCGCAUCCUGGGGCUGUAGUCGGUCCCAAGGGUUGGGCUGUUCGCCCAUUAAAGCGGUACGCGAGCUGGGUUCAGAACGUCGUGAGACAGUUCGGUCCCUAUCCGUCGUGGGCGUAGGAAAUUUGAGAGGAGCUGUCCUUAGUACGAGAGGACCGGGAUGGACAUACCUCUGGUGUACCAGUUGUCGUGCCAACGGCAUAGCUGGGUAGCUAUGUGUGGACGGGAUAAGUGCUGAAAG
RNAcentral lists this ribosomal RNA (1999 nucleotides) under Staphylococcus aureus. RNAcentral's name for it is "partial 23S ribosomal RNA". It matches the Rfam family "Bacterial large subunit ribosomal RNA", at positions 778 to 2777 of the family's 2925-position model. Lineage: Bacteria; Bacillati; Bacillota; Bacilli; Caryophanales; Staphylococcaceae. The record is from RNAcentral.